CCUGAAACCGGAUGCCUACAAACAGUUGGAGCCCAAGGUUCGUCCUGGGUGACAGCGUACCUUUUGUAUAAUGGGUCAGCGACUUAGUGUAUCGAGCAAGCUUAAGCCGGUAGGUGUAGGCGCAGCGAAAGCGAGUCUGAACAGGGCGUUCAGUUCGAUGCAUUAGACCCGAAACCAAGUGAUCUAGCCAUGAGCAGGUUGAAGGUACGGUAACACGUACUGGAGGACCGAACCCAUAUCUGUUGCAAUAGAUCGGGAUGACUUGUGGCUAGGGGUGAAAGGCCAAUCAAACUUGGAGAUAGCUGGUUCUCCGCGAAAUCUAUUUAGGUAGAGCGUCCAGCGAAUACCCCCGGGGGUAGAGCACUGAAUGGGCUAUGGGGACUCACCGUCUUACUGAUCCUAAUCAAACUCCGAAUACUGGGGAGUACUACUGGGCAGACACACGGCGGGUGCUAACGUCCGUCGUGGAGAGGGCAACAACCCUGACCACCAUCUAAGGUCCCUAAGUUAUGGCUAAGUGGGAAAGGAUGUGAGGAUCCCAAAACAACCAGGAUGUUGGCUUAGAAGCAGCCAUCAUUUAAAGAAAGCGUAACAGCUCACUGGUCUAAAUAAGGGUCUUUGCGCCGAAAAUGUACCGGGGCUAAAGCCAUACACCGAAGCUGUGGAUGCACAUUUGUGCGUGGUAGCGGAGCGUUCCGUAAGCCUGUGAAGGGACAGUCGUGAGACAUCCUGGAGGUAUCGGAAGUGAGAAUGCUGACAUGAGUAACGAUAAAGGGAGUGAGAGACUCCCUCGCCGAAAGUCCAAGGGUUCCUGCUUAAAGUUAAUCUGAGCAGGGUUAGCCGGCCCCUAAGGCGAGGCCGAAAGGCGUAGUCGAUGGGAACCACGUUAAUAUUCGUGGGCCUGCAGGUAGUGACGGAUCGCGUGUGUUGUAAGGUCUUAUUGGAUUGAUCUUGCAGCGAAGCGGUUCCAGGAAAUAGCUCCUGCAUAUAGACCGUACCCUAAACCGACACUGGUGGACUGGUAGAGAAUACCAAGGCGCUUGAGAGAACUGCGUUGAAGGAACUCGGCAAAAUGCACGCGUAACUUCGGAAGAAGCGUGACCUCCAUUUAGGCAACUAGGUGGGGGUGGCACAGACCAGGGGGUAGCGACUGUUUACCAAAAACACAGGGCUCUGCGAAGUCGCAAGACGACGUAUAGGGUCUGACGCCUGCCCGGUGCUGGAAGGUUAAGAGGAGAUGUGCAAGCAUUGAAUUGAAGCCCCAGUAAACGGCGGCCGUAACUAUAACGGUCCUAAGGUAGCGAAAUUCCUUGUCGGGUAAGUUCCGACCUGCACGAAUGGCGUAACGACUUCCCCGCUGUCUCCAACGCAGACUCAGUGAAAUUGAAUUCCCCGUGAAGAUGCGGGGUUCCUGCGGUUAGACGGAAAGACCCCGUGCACCUUUACUAUAGCUUUACA
Molecule: ribosomal RNA, 1458 nt
Filed under: Brucella anthropi CTS-325
Lineage: Bacteria; Pseudomonadati; Pseudomonadota; Alphaproteobacteria; Hyphomicrobiales; Brucellaceae
Description: bacterial LSU rRNA
Rfam family: Bacterial large subunit ribosomal RNA
Source: RNAcentral